RNAcentral lists this ribosomal RNA (623 nucleotides) under uncultured bacterium. RNAcentral describes it as "bacterial SSU rRNA". The stretch from base 1 to 535 matches the Rfam family "Bacterial small subunit ribosomal RNA", at positions 338 to 873 of the family's 1533-position model. The record is from RNAcentral.
CCUACGGGAGGCAGCAGUGAGGAAUAUUGGUCAAUGGGCGCAAGCCUGAACCAGCCAUGCCGCGUGCAGGAUGACGGUCCUAUGGAUUGUAAACUGCUUUUGUACAGGAAGGAACACUCCCUCGUGAGGGAGCUUGACGGUACUGUAAGAAUAAGGAUCGGCUAACUCCGUGCCAGCAGCCGCGGUAAUACGGAGGAUCCAAGCGUUAUCCGGAAUCAUUGGGUUUAAAGGGUCCGUAGGCGGUUUUAUAAGUCAGUGGUGAAAUCUGGUCGCUCAACGAUCAAACGGCCAUUGAUACUGUAAGACUUGAAUUACUUGGAAGUAACUAGAAUAUGUAGUGUAGCGGUGAAAUGCUUAGAGAUUACAUGGAAUACCAAUUGCGAAGGCAGGUUACUACAAGUAUAUUGACGCUGAUGGACGAAAGCGUGGGGAGCGAACAGGAUUAGAUACCCUGGUAGUCCACGCCGUAAACGAUGGAUACUAGCUGUUGGUAGCAUCUGAGUAGGUUAGUAGAAGUAGAGUAAGUAGUCCGACCGUCGGGAGGUACGUCGUCGCGAGAGUAGAACGUUACGAAGGAAGUUAGACGGCGNGAGACGNGCGACGGACGACGACGAGGGAGGAGG